This 303-nucleotide ribosomal RNA is filed under the name Triticum aestivum (bread wheat). RNAcentral's name for it is "partial small subunit ribosomal RNA". Lineage: Eukaryota; Viridiplantae; Streptophyta; Magnoliopsida; Poales; Poaceae. The record is from RNAcentral.
AUGAUCGCUGGGGUAGGUGAGCAUUUCGCCGGCGGCGAGCGGCUGCCGCUUGGGGAGUUGGGGUCGAAAUUACUUGAGCGCUCUUGCAUUGACUCCCACCCUCCCGACCUCCCCCCCCUUUGUUCUCCGCCCCCGCUCUCUGCUUCCUGGCCAUGGCGGAGAGCCCCCGCUCCGUCAACUCCGUGUUCCCUCGGGAGAGGCCCGUCGUCUCUGGUCUGGGGAUCUCCUCAGCUUUCGAGAGAUCCGCCGAGGACGUGGCUGGCCCGUUGGCGCCCGGCGCGCCACCGGCCGCGCCUCUGCUGA